Molecule: ribosomal RNA, 26 nt
Filed under: Timgrovea sp. H4162
Lineage: Eukaryota; Fungi; Basidiomycota; Agaricomycetes; Agaricales; Bolbitiaceae
Description: partial 18S ribosomal RNA
Source: RNAcentral
UUCGUAGGCCUGCGGAAGGAUCAUUA